RNAcentral lists this ribosomal RNA (496 nucleotides) under uncultured bacterium. RNAcentral's name for it is "partial 16S ribosomal RNA". It matches the Rfam family "Bacterial small subunit ribosomal RNA", at positions 28 to 507 of the family's 1533-position model. The record is from RNAcentral.
GAUGAACGCUGGCGGCGUGCCUAAUACAUGCAAGUCGAGCGAACGGACGAGAAGCUUGCUUCUCUGAUGUUAGCGGCGGACGGGUGAGUAACACGUGGAUAACCUACCUAUAAGACUGGGAUAACUUCGGGAAACCGUAGCUAAUACCGGAUAAUAUUUUGAACCGCAUGGUUCAAAAGUGAAAGACGGUCUUGCUGUCACUUAUAGAUGGAUCCGCGCUGCAUUAGCUAGUUGGUAAGGUAACGGCUUACCAAGGCAACGAUGCAUAGCCGACCUGAGAGGGUGAUCGGCCACACUGAAACGAAGACCGGUCCCGGAUCCCAAGGGGGGGCAGCAGUAGGGAAUCUUCCGCAAUGGGCGAAGGCCGAACGAGCAACGCCGCGUGAGUGAUGAAGGUCUUCGGAUCGUAAAACUCUGUUAUUAGGGAAGAACAUAUGUGUAAGUAACUGUGCACAUCUUGACGGUACCUAAUCAGAAAGCCACGGCUAACUACGUG